UUUUUUUUGAGAGAAAGAUAUCAUGCUAUGUACCCGCUUCGUUUAUUUCAUUUAGAAAUAAACUUAGCUGGAAAUUUGAAUCAACUAGAAUUCGAACUUGGGUCUCGAAUACCAACCACCAAGCUCUUUUCUUAUCAUUGUUCAUUUGAAUUUAAUAUAUUACUAGUGCACUUAUCCGCGUGAACGCACGAGGCGAUGAAGAGAGAAAGAAAGAGAGGUGUAGGAAGGGAGAAUGACAAAAGAUG
Molecule: long non-coding RNA, 245 nt
Filed under: Ananas comosus (pineapple)
Lineage: Eukaryota; Viridiplantae; Streptophyta; Magnoliopsida; Poales; Bromeliaceae
Description: long non-coding RNA (ACOM_LNC005588)
Source: RNAcentral